This is a small nuclear RNA of Mercurialis annua (annual mercury), 195 nucleotides long. RefSeq annotates it as U2 spliceosomal RNA. The transcript has a single exon. The record is from RefSeq and is a predicted model, not a curated record. Lineage: Eukaryota; Viridiplantae; Streptophyta; Magnoliopsida; Malpighiales; Euphorbiaceae.
AUACCUUUCUCGGCCUUUUGGCUAAGAUCAAGUGUAGUAUCUGUUCUUAUCAGUUUAAUAUCUGAUAGUGAGUCAUUGACUCACAUGAUAUUAAAUUCAUUUUUCUAGGGGGAGAACUCAUCACAAUAGCUUGCUAUUGGAGUUCGCAUGUGUCGCUUGUGUGUUGCACUACUGCACUAGCCUGGCUCACCCCAC